RNAcentral lists this ribosomal RNA (601 nucleotides) under uncultured bacterium. RNAcentral describes it as "bacterial SSU rRNA". It matches the Rfam family "Bacterial small subunit ribosomal RNA", at positions 735 to 1340 of the family's 1533-position model. The record is from RNAcentral.
UGUUACUGACGCUAAAGCUCGAAAGUGCGGGUACCGAACAGGAUUAGAUACCCUGGUAGUCCGCACGGUAAACGAUGGAUGCCCGCUGUUUGCCCUUCGGGGUGAGUGGCUAAGCGAAAGCGUUAAGCAUCCCACCUGGGGAGUACGCCGGCAACGGUGAAACUCAAAGGAAUUGACGGGGGCCCGCACAAGCGGAGGAACAUGUGGUUUAAUUCGAUGAUACGCGAGGAACCUUACCCGGGCUUGAAUUGCAGAUGACGGAUCUAGAGAUAGUGACUUCCUUCGGGACAUCUGUGAAGGUGCUGCAUGGUUGUCGUCAGCUCGUGCCGUGAGGUGUCGGCUUAAGUGCCAUAACGAGCGCAACCCUUCUCUUCAGUUGCCAUCAGGUUAAGCUGGGCACUCUGGAGACACUGCCACCGUAAGGUGUGAGGAAGGUGGGGAUGACGUCAAAUCAGCACGGCCCUUACGUCCGGGGCUACACACGUGUUACAAUGGCCGGUACAGAAAGUCGGAUGCCCGUAAGGUCAUUCUAAUCAAGAAAGCCGGUCCCAGUUCGGACUGAGGUCUGCAACCCGACCUCACGAAGCUGGAUUCGCUAGUA